This 210-nucleotide ribosomal RNA is filed under the name Trichoderma sp. RNAcentral's name for it is "partial large subunit ribosomal RNA". Lineage: Eukaryota; Fungi; Ascomycota; Sordariomycetes; Hypocreales; Hypocreaceae. The record is from RNAcentral.
AAGCGCUUGUGACCAGACUUGGGCGCGGCGGAUCAUCCGGGGUUCUCUCCGGUGCACUUCGCCGCGUCUAGGCCAGCAUCAGUUCGUCGCGGGGGAAAAAGGCUUCGGGAACGUGGCUCCUCCGGGAGUGUUAUAGCCCAUUGUGUAAUACCCUGUGGUGGACUGAGGUUCGCGCAUCUGCAAGGAUGCUGGCGUAAUGGUCAUCAGCGA